Molecule: ribosomal RNA, 1507 nt
Filed under: metagenome
Description: bacterial LSU rRNA
Rfam family: Bacterial large subunit ribosomal RNA
Source: RNAcentral
UUAGAUCGGAAGCGAGAAUGUUGACAUGAGUAGCGACAAACAGGGUGAGAAACCCUGUCGCCGAAAGUCCAAGGGUUCCUGCUUAAAGCUAAUCUGAGCAGGGUAAGCCGGCCCCUAAGGCGAGGCCGAAAGGCGUAGUCGAUGGGAACCAGGUUAAUAUUCCUGGGCCAGUGGGAUGUGACGGAUCGCAGAUGUAGUUUGCCCUUAUCGGAUUGGGUGGGCUGCUGAGCGGUUCCUGGAAAUAGCCCCACAUCAGACCGUACCCUAAACCGACACAGGUGGACUGGUAGAGUAUACCAAGGCGCUUGAGAGAACCACGUUAAAGGAACUCGGCAAAAUGCCUCCGUAAGUUCGCGAGAAGGAGGCCCCAUAUGUGCGCAAGCAUGUGUGGGGGGCACAAACUAGGGGGUGGCGACUGUUUACUUAAAACACAGGGCUGUGCGAAGCCGUAAGGCGACGUAUACAGUCUGGCGCCUGCCCGGUGCUGGAAGAUUAAGAGGAGGGGUGCAAGCUCUGAAUUGAAGUCCCAGUAAACGGCGGCCGUAACAAUAACGGUCCUAAGGUAGCGAAAUUCCUUGUCGGGUAAGUUCCGACCUGCACGAAUGGCGUAACGAUCUCCCCGCUGUCUCUAACGUGGACUCAGCGAAGUUGAACUGUCUGUCAAGAUGCAGACUACCCGCGGUUAGACGGAAAGACCCCAUGAACCUUUACUCCAGCUUUGCAUUGGCAACAGGACUGUGAUGUGCAGGAUAGGUGGUAGGCAUUGAAGCGGGGACGCCAGUCUUCGUGGAGCCUCCCUUGAGAUACCACCCUUCGCCGUCUUGUUGUCUAACCGCGACCCGUUAUCCGGGCCCGGGACCGUGCAUGGUGGGGAGUUUGACUGGGGCGGUCGCCUCCCAAAUUGUAACGGAGGCGCGCGAUGGUUGGCUCAGACCGGUCGGAAAUCGGUCGUUGAGUGCAAUGGCAGAAGCCAGCCUGACUGCAGGACUGACAAGUCGAGCAGAGACGAAAGUCGGUCAUAGUGAUCCGGUGGUCCCAAGUGGGAGGGCCAUCGCUCAACGGAUAAAAGGUACUCUGGGGAUAACAGGCUGAUGAUGCCCAAGAGUCCAUAUCGACGGCAUCGUUUGGCACCUCGAUGUCGGCUCAUCUCAUCCUGGGGCUGGAGCAGGUCCCAAGGGUACGGCUGUUCGCCGUUUAAAGAGGUACGUGAGCUGGGUUUAGAGCGUCGUGAGACAGUUCGGUCCCUAUCUGCCGUGGGUGCAGGAGACUUGAGAAGAGUUGACCCUAGUACGAGAGGACCGGGUUGAACGAACCACUGGUGGACCAGUUAUCGUGCCAACGGUAGUGCUGGGUAGCUAUGUUCGGACAGGAUAACCGCUGAAGGCAUCUAAGCGGGAAGCCCCCUUCAAAACAAGGUCUCCCUUGAGGGCCGUGGAAGACGACCACGUCGAUAGGCCAGAGACGUAAGCGCAGCAAUGCGUUCAGCUGACUGGUACUAAUUGCCCGA